RNAcentral lists this ribosomal RNA (374 nucleotides) under uncultured eukaryote. RNAcentral's name for it is "partial 18S ribosomal RNA". It matches the Rfam family "Eukaryotic small subunit ribosomal RNA", at positions 592 to 976 of the family's 1831-position model. The record is from RNAcentral.
UAAUAGUGUAUAUUAAAGUUGUUGCAGUUAAAAAGCUCGUAGUUGAAUGUUGGUGUCGAACGAGCGGUCAGCUUCGGCUGUACUGCUCUCCCAACUCCUUCCUUCUGUGGACUACGUCGCACUUUACUGUGUGGCGCUAGGACGCAGAUCGUUUACUGUGAAAAAAUUAGAGUGUUCAAAGCAGGCCGUACGCUUGAAUACAUUAGCAUGGAAUAAUGGAAUAGGACGUCGGGCCUAUUUUGUUGGUUCUAGGACCGUCGUAAUGAUUAAUAGGGACAGUUGGGGCCGUUUAUAUUCCGUAGUCAGAGGUGAAAUUCUUGGAUUUACGGAAGAUAAACUACUGCGAAAGCAUUCGGCAAGGAUGUUUUCGUUAA